Long non-coding RNA from Pteropus alecto (black flying fox), 218 nucleotides. RefSeq lists it as uncharacterized. The record is from RefSeq and is a predicted model, not a curated record. The transcript is spliced from 3 exons. Lineage: Eukaryota; Metazoa; Chordata; Mammalia; Chiroptera; Pteropodidae.
AGAGAGGCCCGGGCGAAGCCUAGAGCGGAAGGGAGCCAGGCCGCCUCCGGGGCGGAAAGGGCGGGACCACGUGAAUUGGCGAAUGAUUCUAGGUCAAGAAAUUCCCAGUAUCUCAGAAGCCUCCUUUAUGCAGCCACCCAAUUAUUGUCACCUGUCACCAAAGGAAGUUCCGAGGAUUUUAGGAGCUCUGUGCCAGAGAAGGAACCCACCACGGAAUG